AACGAACGCUGGCGGCAUGCCUAACACAUGCAAGUCGAACGAGACCUUCGGGUCUAGGGGCGCACGGGUGCGUAACGCGUGGGAACCUGCCCGUAGGUUCGGAAUAACUCCCCGAAAGGGGUGCUAAUACAGGAUAAUGUCUUCGGGCCAAAGAGUUAUCGCCUGUGGAUGGGGUCGCGUUGGAUUAGCUUGUUGGGAGGGUAAAAGCCUACCAAGGCGACGAUCGAUAGCUGGUCUGAGAGGAUGAUAAGCCACAGUGGGACGGAGACACGGCCCAGACUACUACGGGAGGGAGCAGGGGGGUAGAUAGCACAAUGGGCGGAAGCAUGAUGCAGCAACGCCGCGUGGGGGAUGACGGCAGUCGGGUUGUAUAGCGCUUUCGCCUGUGACGAAGCGUGAGUGACGGUACUGGGUAAAGAGGCACCGGCUAACUACGUG
This 438-nucleotide ribosomal RNA is filed under the name uncultured bacterium. Its description in RNAcentral is "partial 16S ribosomal RNA". It matches the Rfam family "Bacterial small subunit ribosomal RNA", at positions 29 to 507 of the family's 1533-position model. The record is from RNAcentral.